This 365-nucleotide ribosomal RNA is filed under the name Ectopseudomonas mendocina. RNAcentral's name for it is "bacterial SSU rRNA". It matches the Rfam family "Bacterial small subunit ribosomal RNA", at positions 60 to 427 of the family's 1533-position model. Lineage: Bacteria; Pseudomonadati; Pseudomonadota; Gammaproteobacteria; Pseudomonadales; Pseudomonadaceae. The record is from RNAcentral.
AGUCGAGCGGAUGAAGAGAGCUUGCUCUCUGAUUUAGCGGCGGACGGGUGAGUAAUGCCUAGGAAUCUGCCUGGUAGUGGGGGAUAACGUUCCGAAAGGAACGCUAAUACCGCGUACGUCCUACGGGAGAAAGCAGGGGACCUUCGGGCCUUGCGCUAUCAGAUGAGCCUAGGUCGGAUUAGCUAGUUGGUGAGGUAAUGGCUCACCAAGGCGACGAUCCGUAACUGGUCUGAGAGGAUGAUCAGUCACACUGGAACUGAGACACGGUCCAGACUCCUACGGGAGGCAGCAGUGGGGAAUAUUGGACAAUGGGCGAAAGCCUGAUCCAGCCAUGCCGCGUGUGUGAACAAGGUCUUCGGAUUGUA